AGUGAACGCUGGCGGUAGGCCUAACACAUGCAAGUCGAACGGCAGCACAGGAGAGCUUGCUCUCUGGGUGGCGAGUGGCGGACGGGUAAGGAAUACAUCGGAAUCUACUCUGUCGUGGGGGAUAACGUAGGGAAACUUACGCUAAUACCGCAUACGACCUACGGGUGAAAGCAGGGGACCUUCGGGCCUUGCGCGAUUGAAUGAUCCGAUGUCGGAUUAGAUAGUUGGCGGGGUAAAGGCCCACCAAGGCGACGAUCCGUAGCUGGUCUGAGGGGAUGAUCAGCCACACUGGAACUGAGACACGGUCCAGACUCCUACGGGAGGCAGCAGUGGGGAAUAUUGGACAAUGGGCGCAAGCCUGAUCCAGCCAUACCGCGUGGGUGAAGAAGGCCUUCGGGUUGUAAAGCCUUUUUGUUGGGAAAGAAAUCCAGCUGGCUAAUACCCGGUUGGGAUGACGGUACCCAAAGAAUAAGCACCGGCUAACUUCGUGCCAGCAGCCGCGGUAA
Molecule: ribosomal RNA, 506 nt
Filed under: uncultured bacterium
Lineage: Bacteria
Description: partial 16S ribosomal RNA
Rfam family: Bacterial small subunit ribosomal RNA
Source: RNAcentral